Molecule: ribosomal RNA, 744 nt
Filed under: Triticum aestivum (bread wheat)
Lineage: Eukaryota; Viridiplantae; Streptophyta; Magnoliopsida; Poales; Poaceae
Description: partial small subunit ribosomal RNA
Source: RNAcentral
AUGACUCCGCACCUUCCUCGUCCAUGCGCCUCUGCUCAGGCUCACAUCGGGCUCCUCAUCAUCCUCCUCGACCUGCUCCUCCCGCCCGCACUCCUCUCCAACUUCCUCCCCGCCGGCGCCCCCUCCUUUCCGCUCCCCUCCCCUCCCCUCCAUAGGGCCAGAUCCGCACCGCGCGGUGUUUCCGCAUCCGCAUCCGCGCCACCACCACGCCCAAACCGCGGCCGAGGAGAGGAGCCCCGCCGCCACCACGCCCUCCUCCUUCCACCUCCACAGCUCUCCCUCCCUUCCUCCCUCCUCGCGCCUCAAACCCUAGCCCAUGCGCGGGUGGCCAUGGCGACCGAGCUCUGGAUCCUCAGCACCCUCUUCUCCAAGAGCAAGAUCAUCAACGCAACAUCCACAAGGAGAGGCUAUGUUUGCUCACUCCGAUCUGCUACAGCAUGGUCUGCUUCAACUUGUGAAGGAAGGGGGCCAGCCAAGGAGAAGCUGUUGUGCUGCACGUCGUCUACAGGAUCAACAUCGAAGUAGCUUGCGGUGAAGAAGAUCAAGGGUGAGAAGGACCCCAACAAGCCCACGCGCCCCCGAGCGCUUUCUUCAUCUUCAUGUGAGUCCCAGUCUUGGGACAACUUCAGGAAGGAGUACAAGGAGAAGCACCCCGGCGUCAAGCUGGUCUCCGUGAUUGGCAAGGCCGGUGGUGAGAAGUGGAAGUCCAUGAGUGAUGCUUGUUCGAACCAGUUGGUCAGUUAG